ACAGCAGAAUGUAUGAGUAGUCUCUCAUCAGAGUGCUGGAAACAGAAGCUGAGCCAGUUAUGCCUGGUUUGGAGAGAAAAUCACCGUCUUGUUUAGGGUUACCACCAUGAUGACCAGAAACUCCAGCCUAUUGCUUAUACCUUACAGCUCCUCCCAGAACCAUUAUCAGAAAUACAAAAAUUGGGAGGGAAACCCUCCAUCCAGCUGCCUUUAAAGAUGGAAAUGCCAAAGCAGACAGCAAACAACCUCCAGCCAAUCAGGAUACAGCCUUAUUCUCUGGUCCGACAGAACAUGGCCUUCUUGAACAACCACGGUAGCAGGGCUGUUUUGGAACCUGAAGGAACUACUGAAAUGCAGAAGGGAAUUAGAUCAUGUAUUAGAUCAUGUCUUAUUAGUAUUGCUCAGCAUUUCUGCCGUAGUCUGACAGAGAAGAAUACUGGGAAAGGAUAAAGAGAUAAAUAACUUUGGCAUCCAUGCAGCUUGUGAAUGAUUCAUGAAAUGAAACCUAUAAACUCCUGCUCAGAACAGCAAACAGUGCUACAGGUACCAGAUGUUGAUAGGUCCACAGGGAUAUGCAGACUGGAGCCAAGACC
This is a non-coding RNA of Pelodiscus sinensis (Chinese soft-shelled turtle), 593 nucleotides long. The record is from RefSeq and is a predicted model, not a curated record. Lineage: Eukaryota; Metazoa; Chordata; Testudines; Trionychidae.